This 460-nucleotide ribosomal RNA is filed under the name uncultured bacterium. RNAcentral's name for it is "partial 16S ribosomal RNA". It matches the Rfam family "Bacterial small subunit ribosomal RNA", at positions 338 to 795 of the family's 1533-position model. The record is from RNAcentral.
CCUACGGGGGGCAGCAGUGAGGAAUAUUGGUCAAUGGGCGCAAGCCUGAACCAGCCAAGUCGCGUGAGGGAUGACGGUCCUAUGGAUCGUAAACCUCUUUUGUCGGGGAGCAAGGCCUGCCACGCGUGGCGGGAAGGAGAGUACCCGAAGAAAAAGCACCGGCUAAUCCCGUGCCAGAAGCCGCGGUAAUACGGAGGAUGCGAGCGUUAUCCGGAUUUUUUGGGUUUAAAGGGUGCGUAGGCGGAAGGUUAAGUCAGCGGUCAAAUGUCGGUGCUCAACACCGGCCUGCCGUUGAAACUGGUCGUCUUGAGUGGGCGAGAAGUAUGCGGAAUGCGUGGUGUAGCGGUGAAAUGCAUAGAUAUCGCGCAGAACUCCGAUUGCGAAGGCAGCAUACCGGCGCUCAACUGACGCUGAGGCACGAAAGCGUGGGGAUCGAACAGGAUUAGAUACCCCUGUAGUC